CUACGGAGGGUACAAGCGUUAAUCGGAAUUACUGGGCGUAAAGUGUACGUAGGCGGUUCGUUAAGUUAGAUGUGAAAGCCCCGGGCUUAACCUGGGAACUGCAUUUAAAACUGGCGAACUAGAGUUGAGUAGAGGGGAGUGGAAUUUCAGGUGUAGCGGUGAAAUGCGUAGAGAUCUGAAGGAACACCAGUGGCGAAGGCGACUCCCUGGACUCAAACUGACGCUGAGGUACGAAAGCGUGGGUAGCAAACGGGAUUAGAAACCCUAGUAGUCC
RNAcentral lists this ribosomal RNA (274 nucleotides) under uncultured bacterium. RNAcentral's name for it is "partial 16S ribosomal RNA". It matches the Rfam family "Bacterial small subunit ribosomal RNA", at positions 523 to 796 of the family's 1533-position model. The record is from RNAcentral.